Molecule: ribosomal RNA, 446 nt
Filed under: uncultured bacterium
Lineage: Bacteria
Description: bacterial SSU rRNA
Rfam family: Bacterial small subunit ribosomal RNA
Source: RNAcentral
GUGAGGAAUAUUGGUCAAUGGACGAGAGUCUGAACCAGCCAAGUCGCGUGAAGGAAGACGGCCCUACGGGUUGUAAACUUCUUUUGUAAGGGAAUAAAUAGUCUUACGAGCUAAGACGUUGCAGGUACCUUACGAAUAAGGAUCGGCUAACUCCGUGCCAGCAGCCGCGGUAAUACGGAGGAUCCGAGCGUUAUCCGGAUUUAUUGGGUUUAAAGGGUGCGCAGGCGGCAUGUUAAGUCGGCGGUGAAAUUUUGCAGCUCAACUGUAAAAGAGCCUUCGAAACUGGCAAGCUUGAGUGUGGAUGAAGUAGGCGGAAUUUGUGGUGUAGCGGUGAAAUGCAUAGAUAUCACAAAGAACACCGAUUGCGCAGGCAGCUUACUAAACCAUAACUGACGCUCAUGCACGAAGGCGUGGGGAUCAAACAGGAUUAGAAACCCUAGUAGUCC